This is a long non-coding RNA of Oncorhynchus nerka (sockeye salmon), 460 nucleotides long. RefSeq lists it as uncharacterized. The transcript has 3 exons. The record is from RefSeq and is a predicted model, not a curated record. Lineage: Eukaryota; Metazoa; Chordata; Actinopteri; Salmoniformes; Salmonidae.
CGUUAAAAUGGUGGGAGACUACAGAGGAUUCCCUCGCUCUGUUCCGAGCCGUUACACUAACAUGCUUGUUGCUGACGCUGAGCCUUUCUAAAAGUUAACAGCUGGUUACGUAACGCCCGGCACUAGAGCUAGGAUCUCCACUCGGUCCCGUCCGCGCUCCGCUCCGCUCCGCGUCGUGUUGUUCACUCUUGGCUUUGUUAUUACCAGUCCAAAGUCCAACAGACAGACAGCUCACACACAACAGGACAAGGAGACCGACCACUCCGUUGCACCAACUUUUAUCCCCCCCCUACAAACUUUACGCCAAACCAGCGAUCACAAUGGGGAAAGGCUGCAUGAAGGCAAUCAAGUACUUCCUGUUCCUCUUCAAUGUCCUCUUCUUCCUGUUUGGCGCCCUCAUCAUGGGGUUUGGACUGUGGGUCCUUCUGGACAAUGAGAGCUUCAUGGUCAUCCUGCAGGA